This 1372-nucleotide ribosomal RNA is filed under the name uncultured bacterium. RNAcentral describes it as "bacterial SSU rRNA". It matches the Rfam family "Bacterial small subunit ribosomal RNA", at positions 28 to 1381 of the family's 1533-position model. The record is from RNAcentral.
GAUGAACGCUGGCGGCGUGCCUAAUACAUGCAAGUCGAGCGAACGGACGAGAAGCUUGCUUCUCUGAUGUUAGCGGCGGACGGGUGAGUAACACGUGGAUAACCUACCUAUAAGACUGGGAUAACUUCGGGAAACCGGAGCUAAUACCGGAUAAUAUUUUGAACCGCAUGGUUCAAAAGUGAAAGACGGUCUUGCUGUCACUUAUAGAUGGAUCCGCGCUGCAUUAGCUAGUUGGUAAGGUAACGGCUUACCAAGGCAACGAUGCAUAGCCGACCUGAGAGGGUGAUCGGCCACACUGGAACUGAGACACGGUCCAGACUCCUACGGGAGGCAGCAGUAGGGAAUCUUCCGCAAUGGGCGAAAGCCUGACGGAGCAACGCCGCGUGAGUGAUGAAGGUCUUCGGAUCGUAAAACUCUGUUAUUAGGGAAGAACAUAUGUGUAAGUAACUGUGCACAUCUUGACGGUACCUAAUCAGAAAGCCACGGCUAACUACGUGCCAGCAGCCGCGGUAAUACGUAGGUGGCAAGCGUUAUCCGGAAUUAUUGGGCGUAAAGCGCGCGUAGGCGGUUUUUUAAGUCUGAUGUGAAAGCCCACGGCUCAACCGUGGAGGGUCAUUGGAAACUGGAAAACUUGAGUGCAGAAGAGGAAAGUGGAAUUCCAUGUGUAGCGGUGAAAUGCGCAGAGAUAUGGAGGAACACCAGUGGCGAAGGCGACUUUCUGGUCUGUAACUGACGCUGAUGUGCGAAAGCGUGGGGAUCAAACAGGAUUAGAUACCCUGGUAGUCCACGCCGUAAACGAUGAGUGCUAAGUGUUAGGGGGUUUCCGCCCCUUAGUGCUGCAGCUAACGCAUUAGGCACUCCGCCUGGGGAGUACGACCGCAAGGUUGAAACUCAAAGGAAUUGACGGGGACCCGCACAAGCGGUGGAGCAUGUGGUUUAAUUCGAAGCAACGCGAAGAACCUUACCAAAUCUUGACAUCCUUUGACAACUCUAGAGAUAGAGCUUUCCCCUUCGGGGGACAAAGUGACAGGUGGUGCAUGGUUGUCGUCAGCUCGUGUCGUGAGAUGUUGGGUUAAGUCCCGCAACGAGCGCAACCCUUAAGCUUAGUUGCCAUCAUUAAGUUGGGCACUCUAAGUUGACUGCCGGUGACAAACCGGAGGAAGGUGGGGAUGACGUCAAAUCACCAUGCCCCUUAUGAUUUGGGCUACACACGUGCUACAAUGGACAAUACAAAGGGCAGCGAAACCGCGAGGUCAAGCAAAUCCCAUAAAGUUGUUCUCAGUUCGGAUUGUAGUCUGCAACUCGACUACAUGAAGCUGGAAUCGCUAGUAAUCGUAGAUCAGCAUGCUACGGUGAAUACGUUCCCGGGUCU